GAUGAACGCUGGCGGCGUGCCUAAUACAUGCAAGUCGAGCGAACAGAUGAGGAGCUUGCUCCUCUGACGUUAGCGGCGGACGGGUGAGUAACACGUGGAUAACCUACCUAUAAGACUGGGAUAACUUCGGGAAACCGGAGCUAAUACCGGAUAAUAUAUUGAACCGCAUGGUUCAAUAGUGAAAGACGGUUUUGCUGUCACUUAUAGAUGGAUCCGCGCCGCAUUAGCUAGUUGGUAAGGUAACGGCUUACCAAGGCAACGAUGCGUAGCCGACCUGAGAGGGUGAUCGGCCACACUGGAACUGAGACACGGUCCAGACUCCUACGGGAGGCAGCAGUAGGGAAUCUUCCGCAAUGGGCGAAAGCCUGACGGAGCAACGCCGCGUGAGUGAUGAAGGUCUUCGGAUCGUAAAACUCUGUUAUUAGGGAAGAACAAAUGUGUAAGUAACUAUGCACGUCUUGACGGUACCUAAUCAAAAAGCCACGGCUAACUACGUG
This 497-nucleotide ribosomal RNA is filed under the name uncultured bacterium. RNAcentral's name for it is "partial 16S ribosomal RNA". It matches the Rfam family "Bacterial small subunit ribosomal RNA", at positions 28 to 507 of the family's 1533-position model. The record is from RNAcentral.